UGGGGAAUAUUGCGCAAUGGGGGGAACCCUGACGCAGCAACGCCGCGUGCAGGAAGAAGGUCUUCGGAUUGUAAACUGUUGUCGCAAGGGAAGAAGACAGUGACGGUACCUUGUGAGAAAGUCACGGCUAACUACGUGCCAGCAGCCGCGGUAAUACGUAGGUGACAAGCGUUGUCCGGAUUUACUGGGUGUAAAGGGCGCGUAGGCGGACUGUCAAGUCAGUCGUGAAAUACCGGGGCUUAACCCCGGGGCUGCGAUUGAAACUGACAGCCUUGAGUAUCGGAGAGGAAAAGCGGAAUUCCUAGUGUAGCGGUGAAAUGCGUAGAUAUUAGGAGGAACACCAGUGGCGAAGGCGGCUUUCUGGACGACAAACUGACGCUGAGGCGCGAAAAGUGUGGGGAAGCAAAACAGGAUUAGAUACC
RNAcentral lists this ribosomal RNA (422 nucleotides) under uncultured bacterium. Its description in RNAcentral is "bacterial SSU rRNA". It matches the Rfam family "Bacterial small subunit ribosomal RNA", at positions 355 to 786 of the family's 1533-position model. The record is from RNAcentral.